CCUACCGUCAUCUCUUUAAUCUUCCAAUCAUUUUACACAACCCGUAAAUCAUCUUUUGAUUCUUCUCCUUUACAAUAUUGCAACUCAAACCCUAACUUCCAUCUUCCUCCUCUGAGCCUUAAUACAAACCCUAACUUACAGCAACUGCUGUUUGUUUUGGCAAGACCUUUUUUUGUGGUGAAAGUUUUCAUUCUCCCCUUUUGUUACUGUUUUCUUCAUUCCUAUUUCCUGCACAAGAGACAAGCGAGAGAUAUAGAGAGAGAAAAAAGGGAACCGACCCGCCACCCAUUAUUACACAAUCUUUUGAAGCUUUCAAAACUAUUGGAGCCAACAAAUAGAUCCAGCGACGGCGUAGUACAUCGUACGGUAGCAUCUCCAUUACGCUUUAACCAACCCUUCCUCCUCUCACCGGUCCUUAUCUUUCUCAUGGAUAUCUAGUACUGGUGUCUGGUGUUGAUUGGAGUUUUACGAAAACUGUUUCGUGACAUUUGAUUGUUUUCGCAUCGGAAUUAAGCAAUUUACUUUAAAAUUGUCUCCAUGGUUGCUGAAAGGAAACAUAGAGGAUUUUGUUUGUCAUGCCAACGCUGAAGUAUCAAGGCUCUACAAUGCAGGGAUAUGCUUAUGGUGUGGCCAUGUUGAAUACAAUUGGUUAUAUAUGCACGCCAAACAACUAAGGUGGUUGGUUUGUCAUUCAAAGGCAUGAAUUAGGGUUGCGUUGUUUAUCAAACCAAGAUUGAACAGUGAAGCUUUAUGUUGU
Molecule: long non-coding RNA, 757 nt
Filed under: Helianthus annuus (common sunflower)
Lineage: Eukaryota; Viridiplantae; Streptophyta; Magnoliopsida; Asterales; Asteraceae
Description: sRNA HanXRQr2_Chr06g0259931
Source: RNAcentral